This 682-nucleotide ribosomal RNA is filed under the name Salmonella enterica. Its description in RNAcentral is "partial 23S ribosomal RNA". It matches the Rfam family "Bacterial large subunit ribosomal RNA", at positions 819 to 1503 of the family's 2925-position model. The record is from RNAcentral. Lineage: Bacteria; Pseudomonadati; Pseudomonadota; Gammaproteobacteria; Enterobacterales; Enterobacteriaceae.
GGGUGAAAGGCCAAUCAAACCGGGAGAUAGCUGGUUCUCCCCGAAAGCUAUUUAGGUAGCGCCUCGUGAAUUCAUCUCCGGGGGUAGAGCACUGUUUCGGCUAGGGGGCCAUCCCGGCUUACCAACCCGAUGCAAACUGCGAAUACCGGAGAAUGUUAUCACGGGAGACACACGGCGGGUGCUAACGUCCGUCGUGAAGAGGGAAACAACCCAGACCGCCAGCUAAGGUCCCAAAGUCAUGGUUAAGUGGGAAACGAUGUGGGAAGGCCCAGACAGCCAGGAUGUUGGCUUAGAAGCAGCCAUCAUUUAAAGAAAGCGUAAUAGCUCACUGGUCGAGUCGGCCUGCGCGGAAGAUGUAACGGGGCUAAACCAUGCACCGAAGCUGCGGCAGCGACACUGUGUGUUGUUGGGUAGGGGAGCGUUCUGUAAGCCUGCGAAGGUGGCCUGUGAGGGUUGCUGGAGGUAUCAGAAGUGCGAAUGCUGACAUAAGUAACGAUAAAGCGGGUGAAAAGCCCGCUCGCCGGAAGACCAAGGGUUCCUGUCCAACGUUAAUCGGGGCAGGGUGAGUCGACCCCUAAGGCGAGGCCGAAAGGCGUAGUCGAUGGGAAACGGGUUAAUAUUCCCGUACUUGGUGUUACUGCGAAGGGGGGACGGAGAAGGCUAUGUUGGCCGGGCGACGGUU